This 262-nucleotide ribosomal RNA is filed under the name uncultured bacterium. RNAcentral's name for it is "partial 16S ribosomal RNA". It matches the Rfam family "Bacterial small subunit ribosomal RNA", at positions 793 to 1055 of the family's 1533-position model. The record is from RNAcentral.
GUCCACGCCCUAAACGAUGUCAACUGGUUGUUGGGAAUUCACUUUCUCAGUAACGAAGCUAACGCGUGAAGUUGACCGCCUGGGGAGUACGGCCGCAAGGUUAAAACUCAAAGGAAUUGACGGGGACCCGCACAAGCGGUGGAUGAUGUGGUUUAAUUCGAUGCAACGCGAAAACCUUACCACCUUUGACAUGUAUGGAAGAUCGCAGAGACGCGAUUGUGCUCGAAAGAGAGCCAUAACACAGGUGCUGCAUGGCUGUCGU